CUCAGGCCACCGAAGGGAAAGGCACUGUGACAGUUCUGGAGGGUCAACCAGCCCAUCAGCUCACCUCGAGCGCCUGGCCCAGCUCCAGGUCGAAGGUGACCACGCACACGCACUCCAGCCAGGCAGAGAAGCGCGCCCAGGGGAUCUCCGCGGUGCGCGCCGCGCGGCCGGGCGACGCGGAUCUUGUCGCGCCUAGUCCUCCGCCAGCUUGCCGGGGCCCGGGGCCCACCGGCACCUCCAUGGUAGCAGCUCCGGCGGUAUCCCGCACGUUGCGGAGAAACGCAGGGAUUCACCUGGGCCGCCUAGGAGCAGUCGAGCUGCCGCCGCAGGCCAGAAGGGCCCCCCGAGCAGCCGCGCGCCCCCUGGCGCUAGCGGAGCGUCCGCCCUGGGGUGUCGCCUAACGUACCAGCGAGAAAGGCCCCAGCCGGUUAGAGGGGUCUAGAGAUGGAGGCGCUUCCCGAUCGUGGAGAUUGCGUGACCCAGGAUGCCAGUCACUGACAGGAUUGUUUGGCAAGAUUAUUCACAAGACAGCUGUGGAGGUGAGAGGCGGUAUCAAGCCUGUAUUCAACAGUGUCUCUUUGGCGCCCUCUGCUGAAAAAGGGAAAAACACAGCAACAGCAGCACCACUUCAAAGGAAAAAACACUUGAAGGGGCCAGAUCCUCUCCACUUGAGACAUUUUUGCACUCCAAGCUGACCCGGAACUCGCUGAGACGACAAGGCGAGCCUCGGGCUGCAGAGAUUCCCCCUCUCUGGAGUGCUGGCAUUAAAGACGUGCGCCAAUACACCCGGAACGACAA
Mastomys coucha (southern multimammate mouse) is the source of this 798-nucleotide long non-coding RNA. RefSeq lists it as uncharacterized. NCBI's taxonomy places the organism in Eukaryota, Metazoa, Chordata, Mammalia, Rodentia, Muridae. The record is from RefSeq and is a predicted model, not a curated record. The transcript is spliced from 3 exons.